This is a long non-coding RNA of Carassius carassius (crucian carp), 1601 nucleotides long. RefSeq lists it as uncharacterized. The record is from RefSeq and is a predicted model, not a curated record. The transcript has 3 exons. Lineage: Eukaryota; Metazoa; Chordata; Actinopteri; Cypriniformes; Cyprinidae.
UCAAUGUUUGAAUUGUAUUUCAGUGCAGUUUGUGAAGACAGAUAAUCAAGAGAAGUCAGUUCCAGAUCCACCCGGCCUCCACAUCAGACCUCUCUCUCAUGUGGAUGGCUGUCUACUAGCAUAUCGUGUUCUCUUCAGACUUCGGUGGAUCCAGAUAUUACUCAGGGACAUGAACACUUGAAUAUUGCAAGAAUAGAGAAAGUAAUAAUUACUAAAUUUUAGAAUUUAAUUUUUUGUGGCAGUGUGAACUGGCCAUAAUGCUGUAUGAUAGGUGUGAGAUUCAUUAAACUUGAUUUGCUAUAAUACAUCUGCUCAUAAGCUAUUGCAUAUUAUGUUCGAUGAAUUAUUUGUAGUGGUUUGGUUAAGGGUGUGAUUAGCUGAUGUAUUAUUGUAGGAGCUUGUGAUUAGUUGAUGAAUUGUGUGCAUGGUUAAUGAUGGCUCUUAAAUAUUUAAAUGCAAUGUGCUGAUUGCCUACGAAGACUUGCAUGUUUGUGCAUAAUGUUUUGACCCUGGAUGCUAAAAGAAUGAUAUACAUAUUUAAAUAUAUGGAAAUGUAUUUAUUAUAAAUAUAUUUCAGUCUAUGUGCUUCUGUAUGGGCUGAAUGCUUUCAUUCAUAUUUCGCUGUAUAUCCUAUGUUCUUAUUAAUAAUCUGGGUGUAUAACUGUUCAUAUUUGUUUGUUAAUAAAUUAACUGAAUUCAUUUCGAGUAUGUAUUCAUCAUUCACAGCUGCUAAAACAGCCUUUAAAUUAGUUUGGGCAUAUGAGGACAUAAAUAAGGUUAAACUUGCAUGUCCUGCAAUGUCCACCCAUAAAAUAAUUAUAAAAAAUGACCAACUGAUUACCAGCACACAACUACCGAUCCGCGACCCGAUCCGUUGCCACGACGUCGCAGUUACUUACUGGCAACAUCAAGAAGUUACAUUCCACGAAAUUUUCGUCACCAGAUUACGUUGCAGUUACUUAACAGUUACGUAAUGUUGUUAGCAGGUCUUACAACUCUCUGAAGACUCGUUCACUUCGGAAGCGUCUCGCAGCGAUCAUUGUCAUACCACGGACGCUAAACAUUAUGAAUUAUACAUGCAGACAUUCAUAUGAGGAGUCUGGCAGCAAAUUAGCCAAUCAGAGAACAAAUUUUAUUUAAGAACAUGAAAAAUUUACUGAGGUCCGGACCUCGGUGGCCUCAUAGCUGGCUACGGGCCUGAACAUUUUCUCAAUUUAUUGAACUCGUGUCCGUCCAUUCAUCUUUCUUAUUCUCUUUUACGUUUUUAUUCCUACUCUUUCCUGGCAAAAUACACAUACACACAAGCAUUCAUACAUUCACACACGUGUUUCCAUAUUUUAUGGGGACUUUCCAUAGACCGACUGAUUUUUAUAGGCCUACAGUACAAAUUUUAUAUUAUAUCCCAUAACCCGACCCCUAAACACAGCUAUCACAAAAAAGUUUCUACAUUUGUAUAUUACAAUUAUAAUAAUAAUAAUAAUAAUAAAUACAUAAAUAAAAAAGCUGGGUGUGAUUUAUGUUUUCCCCUCAAUGCAUCACAUGAAAGUGCUGGCUUCAGCUGUCAACAGGAUUUUAAUAUUUCAUUGAAAACCAUUUGUUGG